This 301-nucleotide ribosomal RNA is filed under the name uncultured bacterium. RNAcentral describes it as "partial 16S ribosomal RNA". It matches the Rfam family "Bacterial small subunit ribosomal RNA", at positions 509 to 807 of the family's 1533-position model. The record is from RNAcentral.
CAGUAGCCACGGGAAUACGUAGGUGGCGAGCGUUGUCCGGAUUUAUUGGGCGUAAAGGGAGUGUAGGCGGUCUUUUAAGUCUGAUGUGAAAGCCCACGGCUCAACCGUGGAGGGUCAUUGGAAACUGGGAGACUUGAGUGCAGAAGAGGAGAGCGGAAUUCCAUGUGUAGCGGUGAAAUGCGUAGAUAUAUGGAGGAACACCAGUGGCGAAAGCGGCUCUCUGGUCUGUCACUGACGCUGAGGCUCGAAAGCGUGGGUAGCGAACAGGAUUAGAUACCCCUGUAGUCCCUGUCUCUUAUAC